AGAGUUUGAUCAUGGCUCAGAACGUACGCUGGCGGCACGCCUUAUACAUGCAAGUCGAACGAAGUAGCAAUACUUAGUGGCAGACGGGUGAGUAACAUGUAGGUAUCUGCCCUUUGGCCUGGAAUAACACGAGGAAACUUGUGCUAAUACUGGAUAAGUCUUUACGGAGAAAGCUUUAUGCACCAUUGGAUGAGCCUGCACUUGAUUAGUUUGUUGGUGGGGUAAUGGCCUACCAAGACAAUGAUCAAUAGCUGAUUUGAGAGGAUGAUCAGCCACAUUGGAACUGAGACACGGUCCAAACUCCUACGGGAGGCAGCAGUAGGGAAUCUUGCACAAUGGAGGAAACUCUGAUGCAGCGAUGCCGCGUGAGUGAAGAAGGCCUUUGGGUUGUAAAGCUCUUUCGUCGGGGAAGAAAAUGACUGUACCCGAAUAAGAAGGUCCGGCUAACUUCGUGCCAGCAGCCGCGGUAAUACGAAGGGACCUAGCGUAGUUCGGAAUUACUGGGCUUAAAGAGUUCGUAGGUGGUUAAAAAAGUUGGUGGUGAAAUCCCAGAGCUUAACUCUGGAACUGCCAUCAAAACUUUUUAGCUAGAGUAUGAUAGAGGAAAGCAGAAUUUCUAGUGUAGAGGUGAAAUUCGUAGAUAUUAGAAAGAAUACCGAUUGCGAAGGCAGCUUUCUGGAUCAUUACUGACACUGAGGAA
This 700-nucleotide ribosomal RNA is filed under the name uncultured bacterium. RNAcentral's name for it is "bacterial SSU rRNA". It matches the Rfam family "Bacterial small subunit ribosomal RNA", at positions 8 to 753 of the family's 1533-position model. The record is from RNAcentral.